This 435-nucleotide ribosomal RNA is filed under the name uncultured bacterium. Its description in RNAcentral is "partial 16S ribosomal RNA". It matches the Rfam family "Bacterial small subunit ribosomal RNA", at positions 29 to 507 of the family's 1533-position model. The record is from RNAcentral.
AGCGAACGCUGGCGGCAGGCUUAACACAUGCAAGUCGAGCGGGCACUUUCGGGUGUCAGCGGCGGACGGGUGAGUAACGCGUGGGAACGUGCCCUCUGGUUCGGAAUAACUCAGGGAAACUUGAGCUAAUACCGGAUACGCCCUUUUGGGGAAAGGCUUGCUGCCGGAGGAUCGGCCCGCGUCUGAUUAGCUAGUUGGUGAGGUAACGGCUCACCAAGGCGACGAUCAGUAGCUGGUCUGAGAGGAUGAUCAGCCACACUGGGACUGAGACACGGCCCAGACUCCUACGGGAGGCAGCAGUGGGGAAUGUUGGACAAUGGGCGCAAGCCUGAUCCAGCCAUGCCGCGUGAGUGAUGAAGGCCUUAGGGUUGUAAAGCUCUUUUAUCCGGGACGAUAAUGACGGUACCGGAGGAAUAAGCCCCGGCUAACUUCGUG